This 373-nucleotide ribosomal RNA is filed under the name uncultured organism. RNAcentral describes it as "bacterial SSU rRNA". It matches the Rfam family "Bacterial small subunit ribosomal RNA", at positions 526 to 895 of the family's 1533-position model. The record is from RNAcentral.
CGGGGGGAGCAAGCGUUGUUCGGAUUUACUGGGCGUAAAGGGCGCGUAGGCGGCCUCUGCAAGUCGACUGUGAAAUCUCCGGGCUUAACCCGGAAAGGUCAGCCGAUACUGCAGGGCUAGAGUGCAGAAGGGGCAACUGGAAUUCUCGGUGUAGCGGUGAAAUGCGUAGAUAUCGAGAGGAACACCUGCGGCGAAGGCGGGUUGCUGGGCUGACACUGACGCUGAAGUGCGAAAGCUAGGGGAGCGAACGGGAUUAGAUACCCCGGUAGUCCUAGCCUUAAACGAUGAAUGCUUGGUGUCUGGGGUUUUAUAGUCCCCGGGUGCCGUCGCUAACGCUUUAAGCAUUCCGCCUGGGGAGUACGGUCGCAAGGUU